Molecule: ribosomal RNA, 1698 nt
Filed under: Triticum aestivum (bread wheat)
Lineage: Eukaryota; Viridiplantae; Streptophyta; Magnoliopsida; Poales; Poaceae
Description: partial small subunit ribosomal RNA
Source: RNAcentral
AUGGUCGACACGGGGUUUAUCCGCGUUGACCAAACAUCGACGCCUAGGGUUUCUUACUACACAGGUGUCUGCAUAAAGGCACUUAUCGAGGAAGAUACAAUUUUAGUGAAUGGGAAAAGGUUAUAUGGCUCCAUGCCGGCCAAGGCAUCGAAUCAAGCUAUAAAUGGACACCAGUGCCAGCUGGAAGGUAUAACCGGACAGUGCAAGGCAUGGAUAAUUGAUAGGAUAGAAGAAUACCGUAAGAGCAUGGAGGAGGAAACCAGGGACUUCUACGCAGCCGGUGCAACGUCGGCUGACUUUACAGUGCACACAUUACGCGAGCACGAGGCCAAAAUGAUCCAGAAAGCUGCCAAGCAUAGAAUAGAGUUGGUGGCAUACAUGAAGGGCAAGGGUUACUACGAGCAUGUUGAAAAAUUGAAUUGUAGCUUGGAAGAAAUGUCUUCUAUGAUAGCAGGUUUGCGUUUUAGCAUGGGGAAUUGUUUCGAUGCAGUGGGCGACAGAACACUGGAAAACAAUAUGUCUAUAGAUGAAGGACAAUUUAGUAUGACAGGGAAACGUUCAUCGACAGGAGUAAACGGUAGAUACCUUCUGCUUCGACCUGGAUCAACAUCGGGUUUUGCUUUGUCGGACCUUAACAAUUCAAGUUACCGCAAUGAGCAUGAUUUGUUAGUUCAAGAAAGAGAGGAAGCAAUUUUUUUUGAAGAAAGCAGACUUUCCUUCGACAAACAUGACCAUUUGGACCAAGAUAUUGUUUACGUACCUGACAAUGCUAGGAAGAGGGCACGUGCUGUAUCUUCCAGUUCAGAUGAAGACAGUGACGAAUUUGAGCUUGAGCUACUGAAGAAACAUAUAAUUAAUGAAAAAUGUGGUACAUCACCGUUUGACAUUGGUGCAAAAUAUCCAACAUUUGGAACAGGAUCUUCGGAGUUAGCUUAUCAGAAUCUAAUAGAUUGUUCACGUACAAUCAAGUCAAGGAUAUGGGUGGAACUUGCAAGACCUACUGAAAUUAAGUUGGAUGGGAACACAAUAUUUGAGUUACUAAAGCCGGGCAGGAGGAUGAAUUAUGUCGGUUUUGAUAAGUUUUGCCGCAUUAGCCGGGAGUAUGAGUCGAGAUGGUGUUUAAGCGGCGAUAACAGCCGUUGGAGACACUUUCUGCAUCCUAUGUUGUCGGGCUCUAUUCUACACACAACGAAUCCAUGGUUUAAGAAGCCGAUAAACGACCUUUUCGUGGGUGAACACAUUGGCUACGACGUGGAGUCAUGCAAAAUGUUGUUCGGUCCAUACCAAGAAAAUGACAAGAGCUGGGUCUUAUAUAUAUUCGACCGUAUCGAAAAGAAGCUACAUGUGCUAGAUCCGGUAAGGUCUUGCCUAGGAGAGACAUAUGUGGAGGAACAUCAUGUUGGUAGAUGUUCAAUACUUAUAAAAGGAUUGACAAUGUGCUUUGAGACGUCUUUUGAAGGCAUUGACAUAGGAACCAAUGGGUGGGAGUAUAUCUUCCAUACAAAUCUGAAUGCAAAGGCAUCAAGCGAUGAUAGUGGUUACUAUGUGGUUCACUACAUGAAAUUUUUUGAUGGAUCAGAGGUCCACGAGAAGAUUAAUGCGAUGGAUCUGCAUGUAUUAAAGAGGAACCUGCUACAGCUAGCAUGCAGGAUGGAAUCAAACAUGGUGGUGGCACCCGAAUGUAUCAUCGGUUUUUAA